Molecule: microRNA precursor, 145 nt
Organism: Equus asinus (donkey)
Lineage: Eukaryota; Metazoa; Chordata; Mammalia; Perissodactyla; Equidae
Source: Ensembl
UCUGGUUUGGUCCUGCGUGACGUCUCUGCCCUCACGCCAAUGGCGAUCGUGCCAGAGGUGGUAUCUGAGAAAGCAAGACCCACUUUUGUUUGCAUGGCUCUGUCCAUUGGGGAGUGCUGAUUGUGUUUAUGUAGUUAUAGGCCAG